CACCAUGCCGUGUCAUGUUGACCAAAGUGGAUAUAGCCACUACGUUAUGUUGACGUUAACUUGAUGUUUCUCUUUUGCAAUGUGUGUAGCUGAGAAGUCGGAUCUGUGCUCUGUUCAUAAAACAAUCUAAUUAUUUGCUAUAUUUUUGGGUGUAGUGAUCGUCUAGAAAGUACUCAAGACAAUCACAAAGGUAAAAAGAAGUGAAUUCAAAAAGAAAAAGUGCGAAAUAUGUGGAGUAAAAACUUGUCGAUGGACGGCUAAAAAAAGAUAUUCAUGGCAAAAUUUCCUCUAGACGAAUAUCGUACUUCUAACCUGGAGUAUGGAGUGAAACCAGCCAGGAUAUGAACUACCGACGUGACUACCACGAACCAGUAGGAGUAAAGGAACUGACAUUUUACAACAUGUUAAAGUUUGAACGAAAUAAAACUCUAUGAAUAUA
Melitaea cinxia (Glanville fritillary) is the source of this 439-nucleotide long non-coding RNA. RefSeq lists it as uncharacterized. NCBI's taxonomy places the organism in Eukaryota, Metazoa, Arthropoda, Insecta, Lepidoptera, Nymphalidae. The transcript has 2 exons. The record is from RefSeq and is a predicted model, not a curated record.